CACUUGGAUUUUCUAAUAAACCUGAAAGGUCAUGAUCCAUAUAAGGAGUCACCAUAUAUAUAGAACCACGACGUCGAUGCUUCUUGUCUGCACGAACAACAGUCAUAUCAGAUAAUGGAAUAAUAUUCUCGUGUUUAAUCGAUUUUAAAAUUUUUAUUUCGCGAAUGGCUGUAAUGGGAAACUAAAAUGUAAUGCUUUAGUAUUUAUUCAUGAAUUAAUUAAAACAAUUAACGCAAUCAAGUCGAUGCGUCCCAAGUCAUUCUGUCAAAAUGAACAAGAAUCUAAACAAACAUCUACUUACACCUUCCUUUUCAGUAUGCAUGAGUAUUCUUUUCAGCGCAUAUACCUUCCCGUCCUUACGCCGCUGCGAUUUGUAAACUUCGCUGGUGAACCAAGUUAGUGAUAAAAUUCAAAAUCAGAUAUUUGACACAUACCCAAAUGUUCCUUCUCCUAAUUUUUCCAUUAAAUGAUAAUCCGUUAAAUGGCUGCACCCUACAAAAUGAAGUUUGGGUACGACAUCUAAUUUUCUCCUUGCUGAUUUCUCAUCUUCGACAGAAACGCUGCUUGAGCGUUUCAUUUUUUUAACUUAUAUUAUACAAAAGAUCCCAACGAUUAGUGAAUAAAGUUAAUUAUACAAAUUGUAGUAUAAACCCGAUCGAUGCGCGAAAUGUUGCAUCUGAUGAGGAUAUAGUGGAAGUGGACCCAACUAUCAACUAUAUGCAUUAAAUACGGAGGCGAAGUAAAAUGCGCUAUGUUUCAAAAUGAGAAAACAAUACUGUAAGUAUAGAGAAUAAACAAUGCUUUUUAUAAAGGGAAAAAGUUGCAUUAGUUUUAAAUAUCUUUCAAAGGACUCCCUAAUCUCAAAUAAAUGCGCAAAGUUUACAAUUUAUGAAUCAGGAAAGAGUAGUUAUUAAAACUCAGGAAUAGUACGUACUAAAUUUAGAAAAAGAUAGUUGAAUAGACUGAAAAAGACAUUCAAACUAUAAGAGGUAUGCAAAGGCCUUAAGCUGACGGGGUGCUCAGGGUGCUCAUGUUUUACAUGCGGGAACAAUGAACGUGCAUUAAAAUAUUAUAGACAUUAAGCGAAUUAAUUAGGUCGUUAG
This is a non-coding RNA of Schizosaccharomyces pombe (fission yeast), 1103 nucleotides long. Lineage: Eukaryota; Fungi; Ascomycota; Schizosaccharomycetes; Schizosaccharomycetales; Schizosaccharomycetaceae. The record is from the annotation of a GenBank genome assembly.